GAAAAUAUAGUUUAGUAGAGUGGAACAGUGGCGGGAUCCCCAUCCGUACCAUCCGUACACGGGGGUUCGAAUUCAUCUUCCGAUA
Molecule: transfer RNA, 85 nt
Filed under: Metacalypogeia alternifolia
Lineage: Eukaryota; Viridiplantae; Streptophyta; Jungermanniopsida; Jungermanniales; Calypogeiaceae
Description: tRNA-Met
Source: RNAcentral